CUCCCCCCAAUACCCUGCAUGUCUAAGUAAAAGCAACUUUUACCGUGAAACUGCGAAUGGCUCAUUAUAUCACUACUAAUUUAUUUCAUAGUGCCUUACUACUUGGAUAACCGUACUAAUUCUAGAGCUAUUACCUGCACUACACUCCCUGACUCUUGCCGAGGGGCCGUAUUUAUUAAAUCAAAGCCAAAGCCGUCCCUCCACCUUCUCCUGUGGUUCCUCCUCCAAAGUACACGAAACCUCCGCCCCCACGCCUCCCCUGCCCAUUACCUACGGGGCACCUACACCCUAUUUUCCUAUCUUUCCAAAUCCCAUUUUGCCG
Molecule: ribosomal RNA, 322 nt
Filed under: Heterococcus sp. DN1
Lineage: Eukaryota; Xanthophyceae; Tribonematales; Heteropediaceae
Description: bacterial SSU rRNA
Rfam family: Eukaryotic small subunit ribosomal RNA
Source: RNAcentral